UGUUUGAUUUCCUUCAACUACUACUAGAACUACAUUUGUUCUAUGCUCUUAUGCCGAACAAAUGUAGUUCUAGUAGUAGUUGAAGGAAAUCAAACA
RNAcentral lists this microRNA precursor (96 nucleotides) under Anopheles maculatus. Its description in RNAcentral is "microRNA mir-315". The record is from RNAcentral. Lineage: Eukaryota; Metazoa; Arthropoda; Insecta; Diptera; Culicidae.